Molecule: non-coding RNA, 82 nt
Organism: Daphnia pulex (common water flea)
Lineage: Eukaryota; Metazoa; Arthropoda; Branchiopoda; Diplostraca; Daphniidae
Source: Rfam
GAUAGUGUGGCCGAUUAGUCUAUGGCGCUGGUUUUAGGCACCAGUCUCUUCGGAGGCAAGGGUUCGAAUCCCUUCACUGUCA